AAUGGUGGGAAGAGGUAAUUAUGGUUGUAAUCAGGGAUACACAAAUCUCCUCUGAUUAACUGCAGCACUUUAUUCAAAUUGCUGUUAUAAAAUUCAGAACAAUUCGCCUGUAAUGAUUAUGGACUGAGUUUAUUUUGGGAGGUGGAAUAAAAGUGGAUAUAGCAUAAAUUAUCCUCUAAUUAUACACUAGUGUCGCCUCAAUUAUCCUCUUAUCAAAAAUGGUUGUCUAAAUGCAGCGUUUAGUUUCAGUUCUCUCCAUUUCUAUAACAAGAACUUCAUACCUUGCUAUUAUUAUUAGGGUUAUUAUUUACUAAGGGAUUUAAAACUGCACAGCUAGCCAGGAUAACCAUUUUUCAAAGAGGACCAAGGCAAAAGCAGGCUGCAAGGCUCAACAUAGACCUGAGGCUGCAUCUUCUUAACGCUGUCCCGAUAUUUUUGCAACCAAUACAUUACAGAAGACGACUGUGUUGGUUGCGCUUUGUCACGACAAAGGAACCAACGUUUCAAAGAAACAGGAGAGUCACUGCAAUAAAACAAAAGGAAAUAAUCAAGACAAAAGAAAAUGACAACUUAUCUUAAAGCAAUGAGCACUACAGUGAACUUUGUUGGAAUUCUCAUCAUGUGAUAAUUUUACAAAAAUAAACAAAUGGACAUGA
This is a long non-coding RNA of Erpetoichthys calabaricus (reedfish), 656 nucleotides long. RefSeq lists it as uncharacterized. The record is from RefSeq and is a predicted model, not a curated record. The transcript has 2 exons. Lineage: Eukaryota; Metazoa; Chordata; Cladistia; Polypteriformes; Polypteridae.